UGGUCACAUCACAUUGAAACACCUGUUCCCAUAUCAUCGCUGAAGUUAAGCAAUGUCGAACCUGGUCAGUAACUAGAUGGAUGACCACUUGGGAAUACCAGGUACUGGA
Non-coding RNA from Acanthosepion pharaonis, 109 nucleotides. The record is from the annotation of a GenBank genome assembly. NCBI's taxonomy places the organism in Eukaryota, Metazoa, Mollusca, Cephalopoda, Sepiida, Sepiidae.